Molecule: ribosomal RNA, 488 nt
Filed under: Listeria monocytogenes
Lineage: Bacteria; Bacillati; Bacillota; Bacilli; Caryophanales; Listeriaceae
Description: bacterial SSU rRNA
Rfam family: Bacterial small subunit ribosomal RNA
Source: RNAcentral
CAUGGUUGUCGUCAGCUCGUGUCGUGAGAUGUUGGGUUAAGUCCCGCAACGAGCGCAACCCUUGAUUUUAGUUGCCAGCAUUUAGUUGGGCACUCUAAAGUGACUGCCGGUGCAAGCCGGAGGAAGGUGGGGAUGACGUCAAAUCAUCAUGCCCCUUAUGACCUGGGCUACACACGUGCUACAAUGGAUAGUACAAAGGGUCGCGAAGCCGCGAGGUGGAGCUAAUCCCAUAAAACUAUUCUCAGUUCGGAUUGUAGGCUGCAACUCGCCUACAUGAAGCCGGAAUCGCUAGUAAUCGUGGAUCAGCAUGCCACGGUGAAUACGUUCCCGGGCCUUGUACACACCGCCCGUCACACCACGAGAGUUUGUAACACCCGAAGUCGGUAGGGUAACCUUUAUGGAGCCAGCCGCCGAAGGUGGGACAGAUAAUUGGGGUGAAGUCGUAACAAGGUAGCCGUAUCGGAAGGUGCGGCUGGAUCACCUCCUUU